This is a long non-coding RNA of Bos indicus x Bos taurus (hybrid cattle), 217 nucleotides long. The record is from Ensembl. Lineage: Eukaryota; Metazoa; Chordata; Mammalia; Artiodactyla; Bovidae.
GUAUGGCCCUGAAACAAUUUGCUUAAAGUGAUAGUUACCUCUAAUGAAAAGAUACAUAACGGAAAAUGUCAGCAACCUUUUAAAUCCUCCACAACUUAUCAUGAAGACCGUCUUGUGCAAAGUGCUCGUGGUGAAGCAACUUCUUUUGUCUCCGAUUCCUCCUAAAUUAGGUGGAUUCUUUACCAGCUGACCUACCAUGGAGAGAAAUUGCAGCUUG